UACGUAGGGUGCAAGCGUUUGUCCGGAAUUAUUGGGCGUAAAGAGCUCGUAGGCGGUUUGUCGCGUCUGCUGUGAAAACGCGAGGCUCAACCUCGCGCCUGCAGUGGGUACGGGCAGACUAGAGUGCGGUAGGGGAGAUUGGAAUUCCUGGUGUAGCGGUGGAAUGCGCAGAUAUCAGGAGGAACACCGAUGGCGAAGGCAGAUCUCUGGGCCGUAACUGACGCUGAGGAGCGAAAGACGUGGGGAGCGAACAGG
Molecule: ribosomal RNA, 255 nt
Filed under: uncultured bacterium
Lineage: Bacteria
Description: partial 16S ribosomal RNA
Rfam family: Bacterial small subunit ribosomal RNA
Source: RNAcentral